AGUUAAUAUUGAGCAUCAUUUCCUCUGGUGAACUCCUAUCCACCUUUCAGAACCCAGCUAAGGGGUCAUCUCCUUAGAGAAGCCUUCACGGAUAUUCCCCUAAAAAAGAAUAAAAAAUUAAGAAAAGAGUAGAUGGGGUGGAAACCAAGCUACAAAAGACCCAGCUCUCCAGGCUACAGCCCACCAGGGAUGCAUUUCGGGAUUGGAUUUCCAACCUCAAAAUCACUCAGAGCUAGAAGGGCUGUUCUGAGGGUCCGGACACUCUUGUUCUGCCAAUGACUCAGCCUGUGGCCUUGAGUAAAACCACUUCCCUCCUCUGUACCUCAGUUCCCUCAUCCAUAGAAUGAAGAUGAAAAUCUCUGCUCUGCCUACUUCAUGGGUUGUUGAGAGAUCAAACAACAUUGGGCAGGGAAGCAAAUCAGUAUGUUAAGGGUUUAAAUCAGGGGCCAGCAGUCACCAACAAAUCGUCACAGAACCUCAUCUUCAGUGAUAAACUCUCAAAGUCCUUCCUGGUACAGUGUUAGUGUUACAGCUGCACCUGCGUACCAGGCCCUGGCCGAGCACCCACCUGCAUGAUCUCUUGCUCACUCCUCACGACAGGUGUCCGAGUGGGGCAGUACUACCCCAUGUCCUGGAUGAUGAAACCAAGGCCUGAAGCAGUGGAGGAGGCCUGGAACCACUCUCUGUCUCCAGAGAGACUACACAUGCUGCCUCCAGGGAAGUGAGACCCUAAGUUUAGCCUCUGAUUUGUCUUUAACUUGACGGCUUAAGCACUAAGAAUGGGCUCUACAGGAUUUCCUUAUAGCCCAGCUAAGAUCUGCACAGCAUUUUACAGUCUAUAAACACCUCUGCAUACUUAACCUCAGGUGAUUCUUCCCACCAACCUGUAACAUAGACAUCAUCACUUCCAACAAAGAGGAGAGAAUAAGGCCCAGAGAGGCUGAGUGACCUGCCCAGGGCCCCACAGGAAGGGAUUAGAAAUGGAGGACAAGAACCUGGGUUUCUGACCCCCAGGCUGAGAAUUCUCCCCUUCACAUGGCAAUGCCCCCAGAGGACUCUGGAUGGCGUGGGGGCAGGUCUGGCAACUCGCCCAUGGACCCAGGGUACUGUGUGAGCAUUUCUGGGGGGCCUGUGGCCGUGUAUCUGGGAGUAUUUAUGAGCUGUGCAGCUAAGCCUAAUUUUUUUUGUCCGUGAUUGCUUUGAAAUGUGGGUUCUGAGAGGUCAGCUGUAAUGCCAGCUGGCACAGCCCUCUCCCCACACGCCCAGGACAGAGUCUACAACAGUGGUAGGCUGGGGAAACCACCCAUCACACAGGCCAUUCUAUGAGUAUUUCCAAUCCCACUGCUGCAAGAAAGUGCUGGAGAAGAGGCAAAGAGCUGGAAAACAGAACCCCUGAGGACAGCACAUUGUCCUCCUCCUGCAGUCAGUCCUCACAAAUCCCAUCUUUCAGCCCCCACCCCCAUGGAGGAACCCUGAGCCCCUAAACCAGUUGAAACAUUUUCUUCUGUGCACCCCAGUUCAAUUAAAAUGAUGAGUUUGUCCCUAGUUAGUGAUUCAGGAGACAAAUCUUAUAUGAAGCAAGCUGGAAGUAUCAUCACCUGGGAAGAGCAACUCACCUUUACUGAAACAAAUUACAGGACUUGAUCGGUUGAGUCGUCUGUACCUCUGUACCUCCACCCAGCCCCAAAUCUACCCUCCAAGCAACCAAUUCUGCAUCCUUUCAUCCUUCCUCUCUACCCACUGGACCACCUGGCUCCCAACCUCAGCCAUAGCUCCUCUCCAGAUUCUAGGAUUCAUUCUGCCAUUAGUCAGGGAGGAAUGGGGGACUUCAUUCAGGCCUGCAGGGUCUGAACGUAAAGUGCAUUAAGGCAGUUAUCAAAUUGUAAAGUCUAUGUAAGAGAUAGUGUGCUGGGGUGACCAACUCCAGAGCCCAUCUGCUGUUUGAUAUCAAGCUCACCUUAUAACCCUGCUCCAGAGUCUGCGUGCCUAUCUUGAUAAACUCUGGCACAUCCAAGCCUCAGUAAAUGGGAUGUGCUACUACAUUCACCCUGCCUGCUCCACUUGCUCCCAGACUACCUGGUUCGGAGAAACUUCCUGAACUUCUCAGAGCAGCAAGAGGAAUCAACAGAUAAAACUGCAGUGAUGCCACUGCCUCCCAUGGGGAGAUGAGAACCCCAUCCCUGGAGGAACUCAAGCACCAGCCCAUCAACAACUGAAGUGUCCAGCGAUGGGCAGGGUGUCCCGACCUCCAAAGUUCCUUCCAACCCAGAGUGUCUACCUUCUCUAGCUCGAAUUCAGACUUCCCACAGCAAAGUAAGUUAUGGGUUGAUGAAGCCAGCAAGCUGAGUAUGAACUCAGGAUGCAGCUGGAUAAAACCUCUCCUGCAGUCUACCUCAACCUACAGGGUCUGCCUUCAGAACCCCUACAAAGGAAAUGACCUGGGUGGGUGGGUGGGAGGCAUCAGGAGGAUUUUGUUGACAUGUACAAAUUACAGAAAAGGAAAAACCAAAACCGAAACAAAACCUAGAAGUUCUAGGCAUUUUCUGAGUGAGCUAAGGCAGUUCUGUUAAUUCUCAAACUCCAGAAGGCACAGAAGUUAGAACCUGAGCUGAGGUAGCACCUGUCCAAAGCCCAGGGUGGGGGCUUCCUUGCACACCUUAGAAGGUAAUGAGACACUAGUCAUGGGCUAUUACAACUGACCGGACCAGCAACACUUAGUUAAGAGGAGAGAUGGGGGAAAGGGUUUUCAGGAAGGAAAAGCCACAAAAAAGGGGCAUGAAGAGAGAUACGUGUGUGACUUAUUUAGGAGAAAGUUGGGUUCUUUUUUUAGUCAAACACAACAUAAACAGCUCUUUAUAUACAUUAUUUAACUUAGUUCUCCCAACAAGUUAUUAGCUCCAUUUCACCAAUGAGAAC
Molecule: long non-coding RNA, 2916 nt
Organism: Manis pentadactyla (Chinese pangolin)
Lineage: Eukaryota; Metazoa; Chordata; Mammalia; Pholidota; Manidae
Exons: 3
Source: RefSeq, a predicted model, not a curated record